Molecule: ribosomal RNA, 498 nt
Filed under: uncultured bacterium
Lineage: Bacteria
Description: partial 16S ribosomal RNA
Rfam family: Bacterial small subunit ribosomal RNA
Source: RNAcentral
AUUGAACGCUGGCGGCAUGCCUUACACAUGCAAGUCGAACGGUAACGGGCCUUCGGGUGCCGACGAGUGGCGAACGGGUGAGUAAUGCAUCGGAACGUACCUUUCAGUGGGGGAUAACGUAGCGAAAGUUACGCUAAUACCGCAUAUUCUGUGAGCAGGAAAGCAGGGGAUCGCAAGACCUUGCGCUGAUUGAGCGGCCGAUGUCAGAUUAGCUAGUUGGUGAGGUAAAGGCUCACCAAGGCGACGAUCUGUAGCGGGUCUGAGAGGAUGAUCCGCCACACUGGAACUGAGACACGGUCCAGACUCCUACGGGAGGCAGCAGUGGGGAAUUUUGGACAAUGGGGGCAACCCUGAUCCAGCCAUGCCGCGUGAGUGAAGAAGGCCUUCGGGUUGUAAAGCUCUUUCGGCCGGGAAGAAAUCGUAUGGGCUAAUACCCUGUGCGGAUGACGGUACCGGCAUAAGAAGCACCGGCUAACUACGUGCCAGCCGCCGCUGUAA